Molecule: long non-coding RNA, 603 nt
Filed under: Vulpes vulpes (red fox)
Lineage: Eukaryota; Metazoa; Chordata; Mammalia; Carnivora; Canidae
Description: lncRNA (ENSVVUG00000001538.1)
Source: RNAcentral
AUGAUAACUAACUCCAAAUAUGAUAUUUAUGAUACGAGAUAUUUGCUCCCAGCACUCUACCAGAAGAUCAGAGAGUUGAAUCACAGCCUCAUGUUCAGCUCCUUGUUUUUCAGGAAGAUGCUUCAGUGUGUCUCCUGGGAAUGGAAGGGAGGCACCAGGCUGGCAGGGAUGGAAGAUACUGAAGGAAAGGGGGUCCAGUUCAUCUGCAUGAUAAGAGCACUGAUCAAUCAAUCAAUCAAUCAGUCAACAAAUGAAUACCUCUGGCUGAGAGGAGAAGAGGAAGAUGAAGGGGGAGAGGAGACUAUUCCAGCUGAGUGAGCCAGAUUCUUUUCUACCCAUUACUCUUACUCUACUUCCUAACCAGAAACUCUUCUAAUCUUUCUCUUCUCUCUCUCUUUCUCUCUCUCUCUUUAGAGACGAAGUGAGGAGGCGCAGAGAAAGAGGGAGAAAGAGAAUCCCAAGCAGACUCUGUGCCCAGCACGGAGCCCGACUCAGGGCUCAAGCUCACAACCCUGAGAUCAUGACCUGAGCCAAAAAUCAAGAGUUGCACACUUAACUGAGUCACCCAGGCACCUUUCUCUUCUUUAAUAAAGGAAUAAUCAU